UCCUCCAUAGCUCAGUUGGUUAGAGCAUCUGACUGUUAAUCAGAGGGUCCCUGGUUCAAGUCCAGGUGGGGGAGCCA
RNAcentral lists this transfer RNA (77 nucleotides) under Crocinitomicaceae bacterium TMED209. Its description in RNAcentral is "tRNA-Asn". It matches the Rfam family "tRNA". From Rfam's summary of the family: Transfer RNA (tRNA) molecules are approximately 80 nucleotides in length. Lineage: Bacteria; Pseudomonadati; Bacteroidota; Flavobacteriia; Flavobacteriales; Crocinitomicaceae. RNAcentral also lists the same sequence under 2 other names. The record is from RNAcentral.